AUGGGUCUUUCUCCCGACGGACCUGCUCCUCGAGGUCUCCGGCUGCCUGUACGACGCUCGCGACUUCGUACGCUUUCACGCCGUCUGCCGGCGGUGGCGGAACGCAGCACCGGCAGCGGCCCGCCACAAGUUCUUUCCAUGGAUGCUCUCGCAGCACGUCGGCCGCGGCGUGCUCAUGCACAUCCCCGUGUUCUACUCGGGGAGCGUCACUCCCGAAGCGAUUUCGAGCUAUCACCGCUGCUACGACGGCAACGUUCUCCAGUCGCUCGACGACACAGCUUGGGUGGCCGGCCCGAACGGCGAGGCCGUCUGGCGCUUCAGUUGGCAUCCCAAGCCAACACUCCAUGA
This 348-nucleotide ribosomal RNA is filed under the name Triticum aestivum (bread wheat). RNAcentral's name for it is "partial small subunit ribosomal RNA". Lineage: Eukaryota; Viridiplantae; Streptophyta; Magnoliopsida; Poales; Poaceae. The record is from RNAcentral.